UACGGAGGGGGCUAGCGUUGUUCGGAAUUACUGGGCGUAAAGCGCACGUAGGCGGAUUGGAAAGUUGGGGGUGAAAUCCCGGGGCUCAACCCCGGAACUGCCUUCAAAACUCCCAGUCUGGAGGUCGAGAGAGGUGAGUGGAAUUCCGAGUGUAGAGGUGAAAUUCGUAGAUAUUCGGAGGAACACCAGUGGCGAAGGCGGCUCACUGGUCCAUUACUGACGCUGAGGUGCGAAAGCGUGGGGAGCAAACAGG
Molecule: ribosomal RNA, 253 nt
Filed under: uncultured bacterium
Lineage: Bacteria
Description: partial 16S ribosomal RNA
Rfam family: Bacterial small subunit ribosomal RNA
Source: RNAcentral